RNAcentral lists this ribosomal RNA (484 nucleotides) under uncultured bacterium. RNAcentral's name for it is "partial 16S ribosomal RNA". It matches the Rfam family "Bacterial small subunit ribosomal RNA", at positions 30 to 507 of the family's 1533-position model. The record is from RNAcentral.
AUUGAACGCUGGCGGCAGGCCUAACACAUGCAAGUCGAGCGGAUGAAGGUAGCUUGCUCCUGGAUUCAGCGGCGGACGGGUGAGUAAUGCCUAGGAAUCUGCCUGGCAGUGGGGGAUGACGUCCGGAAACGGGCGCUAAUACCGCAUACGUCCUGAGGGAGAAAGUGGGGGAUCUUCGGACCUCACGCUAUCAGAUGAGCCUAGGUCGGAUUAGCUAGUUGGUGGGGUAAAGGCCUACCAAGGCGACGAUCCGUAACUGGUCUGAGAGGAUGAUCAGUCAAACUGGAACUGAGACACGGUCCAGACUCCUACGGGAGGCAGCAGUGGGGAAUAUUGGACAAUGGGCGAAGGCCUGAUCCAGCCAUGCCGCGUGUGUGAAGAAGGUCUUCGGAUUGUAAAGCACUUUAAGUUGGGAGGAAGGGCAGUAAGUUAAUACCUUGCUGUUUUGACGUUACCAACAGAAUAAGCACCGGCUAACUUCGUG